GAUGAACGCUAGCUACAGGCUUAACACAUGCAAGUCGAGGGGAAACGAUAGAGAAAGCUUGCUUUUUCUAGGCGUCGACCGGCGCACGGGUGAGUAACGCGUAUCCAACCUGCCCACCACUUGGGGAUAACCUUGCGAAAGUAAGACUAAUACCCAAUGAUAUCUCUAGAAGACAUCUGGAAGGUAUUAAAGAUUUAUCGGUGAUGGAUGGGGAUGCGUCUGAUUAGCUUGAUGGCGGGGUAACGGCCCACCAAGGCGACGAUCAGUAGGGGUUCUGAGAGGAAGGUCCCCCACAUUGGAACUGAGACACGGUCCAAACUCCUACGGGAGGCAGCAGUGAGGAAUAUGGGUCAAUGGGCGAGAGCCUGAACCAGCCAAGUAGCGUGCAGGAUGACGGCCCUAUGGGUUGUAAACUGCUUUUAUAAGGGAAUAAAGUGAGUCCCGUGAGACUUUUUGCAUGUACCUUAUGAAUAAGGACCGGCUAAUUCCGUGCCAGCCGCCGCGGUAA
Molecule: ribosomal RNA, 508 nt
Filed under: uncultured bacterium
Lineage: Bacteria
Description: partial 16S ribosomal RNA
Rfam family: Bacterial small subunit ribosomal RNA
Source: RNAcentral